CCCUUAGAUGUUCUGGGCCGCACGCGCGCUACACUGACGAAGUCAGCGAGCAUCUCCUACGCCGAAAGGUGCGGGGAAUCUUGUGAAACUUUGUCGUGCUGGGGAUUGAUUUUUGAAAUUCUUGAUCAUCAACGAGGAAUUCCUAGUAAGCGCAAGUCAGCAGCUUGCGUUGAUUACGUCCCUGCCCUUUGUACACACCGCCCGUCGCUACUACCGAUUGAAUGGUUUAGUGAGAUUUUUGGACUGGAACUCUCUUGUUCAGCAAUGAGCGAGAGGGACUCUGGGAAGCUAUUCUAACUGUAUCAUUUAGAGGAAGUAAAAGUCGUAACA
Molecule: ribosomal RNA, 330 nt
Filed under: uncultured eukaryote
Lineage: Eukaryota
Description: partial 18S ribosomal RNA
Rfam family: Eukaryotic small subunit ribosomal RNA
Source: RNAcentral